AAGCCGUCCCUGACGGGCACUGAAUCCACAAUCUGAUGUGGGUGGAGUGACGUUGAAACAGGUUAUUUGACUCAUUUCUUCAAUCUUGACUACCGUUCUAGAAUCUAGAAGAGAGUGUAGACAAAUUGAUCAGACUAACAUGAGAGACAGCUUAAACCCAGCCUAAUCCUACUGAGAGCACACUACUGGAUUACCCCAAACAUGGGAGACUGGACCACCAUUGGAAUCUCGAUCCCAUGCCAGGUGCGUUCCAUUGAAUAAAACGCCCAGCAACUGUAAACAUCGAUCGACUAGCAAUUGACAUGAUACAAUCUACUACUAUGCUGGUGCCUCUGAAGGUCCAGUUCCAGUGAUCCCUAGGGAGCUCUGAUCUUCAAGAAUAUCACUCAGCUUCUCUCUUCAUCUUCUCCAGUUUUUAGAUCAAUAAUGUGGAAGCUUAAGAUUGCUGAAGGAGGAAGUCCAUGGCUUCGUACUCUGAACAACCAUGUUGGAAGGCAAGUUUGGGAGUUUGAUCCUGAGAGUAGAACACCAGAACAUCUUAUGGAAGUUGAGAAGGCUCGUGAUCAUUUCACAAAGCUUAGGUUUGAGAAGAAGCAUAGCUCAGAUCUACUCAUGCGACUCCAGGUACUGUAAAAAAGAAAUUA
Nelumbo nucifera (sacred lotus) is the source of this 644-nucleotide non-coding RNA. The record is from RefSeq and is a predicted model, not a curated record. Lineage: Eukaryota; Viridiplantae; Streptophyta; Magnoliopsida; Proteales; Nelumbonaceae.